This is a non-coding RNA of Oryza meridionalis, 208 nucleotides long. The record is from Rfam. Lineage: Eukaryota; Viridiplantae; Streptophyta; Magnoliopsida; Poales; Poaceae.
UAUAAAAAACAAACUAGGUUUCCGUAUCCAACGUUUGACUGGCCGUCUUAUAUGAAAAUUUUUUUGUAAUUAGUACUUUGAUUGUUGUUAGAUGAUAAAACAUGAAUAAUACUUUAUACGUGACUUGUCUUUUUAAUUUGUUUCAUAAUUUUUUCAAAUAAGACGGACGGUCAAACGUUGGACACGGAAACCCAGGGUUUGUCUUUUU